This 1116-nucleotide long non-coding RNA is filed under the name Zonotrichia albicollis (white-throated sparrow). Its description in RNAcentral is "lncRNA (ENSZALG00000001117.1)". The record is from RNAcentral. Lineage: Eukaryota; Metazoa; Chordata; Aves; Passeriformes; Passerellidae.
GGCCAGGGGCUGGGGAGGGGACACUUUGGGGACACUGUCAUACCUGGCUUGGUGGCACUGUGCGAGGAGAAAGAGGAGGAGGAGGAGGACGAUGAGGAAGGGCUGAGGCAGGCGCCGGGUUUUGGGGGUCCGGGGGCUCCAUCAGGGUCCUGGGGGGGUCUCCGGGGAGGGGUCCUGAGGGGGUGAGAGCAGCCAGUGCCCGGCCCGUGUCCCCCUGUCCCAUCCCAUUCCCGAUCCCAUCCCAGCGCCCCAAUUCCCAGUGCCCAUUUCCCAAUCCCAAAUCCCAAACCCCAGUUCCCAAUCCCUGAACACAAUUCCCAGUCCCCAAUUCCCAGUUCUCAGUCCCCAUUUCCCAAUCCCAAUUCCCAAUGCCCAAUUCCCAUUCCCAGUCCCAAACUCCAAUUCCCACUCCCCAAACCUCAAACCCCACUCCCAUUUCCCAGUACCUGUCCCAUUUCCCAUUUCCCAGUCCCCAUUCCCAGCCUCCACUCCCCAUUUCCCAGUCCCUGUCCCAGUCCCCAUUCCCAUUUCCCAAUUCCCCUUUCCCUGUACCUGUCCCGGCUCCUCUCCCUCUCUCUCUCCAUCCACACCUCCAGGUUCUUGGGGCGCCGCCGGCAAUUGGGGACCCCCCUGCAGGGACGGGGCGGGGGGGGGGAGGGUCAGACCCCCUCAAACCCCCCAGAGCCCUCCCAGAGCCCCCAGACCCCUCACCUGCUGCCCUCAGGGCUGUCACCUCUCGGGGUCUGGCUCUGCUGCUCCUGGGGGGGGACAAAGGGGGAUCAGGAUUUGGGGGAAAACCCCAAAAUUUUGGGGGGGAUCAGAGAUUUUGGGGGUGACAUCACCUCGGGCGAGGGCUCCUCCUCCAGCUGCUCCGGGUCACUGUCACCGGCUGUGGGGACAUUGGGGUGACAGGGGGGGUCCCCAAAAGGUGACAGAGGGUCCUAGGGGGGUUUUGGGGACCCCGGGUAGGAUUUUGGGGACCCUCUCCCCUCACCUGCCCCGCCGUGCAUCUCCCUGUGCUGCCGGGACAGCUCCGAGGACUCAUCCGAGCACUGAAACGGUGCCAAAGGGGGUGCAGGGUUGGGAACACCCCAAAUCCCCCCGAAAUUCCCCCAA